AGAGGGAAGGCAUGUUUCCUUUAUGAGUUUCAGUUUAUUGCACAGAAAUGUUUUUGAAACCUUUGUCACCAAUGGACUCAUGAAUGGGUGUCAGAGAGUCAAAAAUAGAGGAAAAAAUGUAGUCUGUAAACAAAUCACUGGAUGGCAUUAGAAGUUGAGCCAAAGUAAAAGAUGCUGGAGCUUGGCCCUUAUCAGAGAAGUAUAGAAGAGCCAGGUAGGGGAUUUUAUUUACAACAUGUUCAAUUCUGAGGAAUAUGGACAGGGCAGAGGAAAAAGGAAAAAUGGGAAACUCCCAUGGACUUAAGGCCCCACAAAGAGAAACCACGUGCCUUCUCCCCCCUUCCCUUCCGGUUUGGGCAAAUGAGGCAGUUCAUGCUCCCUUUAGGGGCGGAGGCAGUCUACAGGGGCCAGCUGGGCACAGAUGAAAUCUUGCAAAGGAACCUUUCUUACACUCGAAAAGCAAGAAUAGCAAAGGGACUUUGGGAAGGACAUCAAACAAGAAAAGGAAGCUCCACACCAACGGUUCCCAGAUGGAGGGAGUUUGUGUGUCUAGCAUUUUCACCAACGUGCUGCUCAUCCUGAUGCACAGAUGCAAACUGGAGCUGCUGCCUGUGCCCUCACCAUGGGCAUGUACCCACCACAGGCAUUCCCAGGUGACGCAGGGGCGGAGGAUUCCCUCUUUCCACUCAGGAUAACAACCCCUGGAUGGGGUUUUCAACAAGUAUAGAAAGCUCCUGGAUGUAGCCAAGACUCUCACCCACAGUCCCAGUCCUCCCACCUUCUUCAGGUCUCUAGAAGACAGAACAGAUGAGUUUACAACAUCCUGUUAUCCUCACUAGUCCUAGGCUGUGGAUGUAGGGAAAGGCCAGGUAAACAAGGAAGGGAGAACAGUUGAAUGACGCCAAUUGUUUGAAACCAAAAUUGCAGAACUGCCCACAAUUAACUUGUGUUUACUUAAGUAAACACCAAGGAACAUAGGUCUGUUCCAGAAAUACUACAAAAUAGAAGAGUAUGUGAGCACCAGAUGCACGUGAUGAAGACCAUGCUCUGAAAGAUUCAUUCCAAGGAGUAGAAGCAGUAUUUGCUCAGGGCAUUUAACGAGAGCACGGACUCUGGAAUGAGGGGAGAGAAAAGAUAGGACAUGCAGGAACAGCUGGCAACACCAAGGAAAGGAUUUAAGGAGAGAGAUCUCUGUAUUGAAGAAUUUAACAUUACCCUAGAAACAGCAAGAGCAUCAUCAGCCCCAGGAAAAUCUACCUCUGAUGUGGAGACCAGGCUUAAGAAAAUCCCCUAGAACCCAGAGAAAAAGUGCAAAACAAGGAAAAUGGCCAAAGAGAACAUCCUAGAUAUAGAGAUCAGACAAUGAGAAUCCAGAGUCUUGUUAAGUGAUAAAAGGAAAAUACUAACAGAACGUGUGUAACAGGAACACCAUUUUAGAGGAAACAAGAAGAAAAGUUUCCUAAACUCGAAAAGUACUACACCAGAAGUGGGCAGUACUCACUAUGUUCAGGGGAACAAAAAGAUAAAAACUGAAAAGCAUCAGAAUAUUUUUUGUGUGAAGGAAAUUUGUAAGGUAGGAGAAUUAGGUCAUUUAUUACAGCACAAACUGCAUGUCUAUCUAAAUAGACAUUUAAGUGCAAAAACAUGGAUAUUACUCGUAGUUUUACUGGAAAACCAUACAGAUGUUUUUUAUGAAUGUAUAGAAUGAAUCAAAGUAAAUAACUGAUCAACAGGAAAACUAGGAAAUUUGUGAGCUGGUUGUGAGGCAGUGGCUCCUAUUAUGUAUAAUUUUAGUGCGACGUGCUGUGUUAAUGAUAGCUGUCAAACAAUAUGUUAGCAUUUGAAAGGAAAUAUGUAUACUGGGAGCAUAGUAAUUAUUUUAUAAAGAAUAACAAUAAAUCAUUUGAUUU
Long non-coding RNA from Macaca fascicularis (crab-eating macaque), 1910 nucleotides. NCBI's taxonomy places the organism in Eukaryota, Metazoa, Chordata, Mammalia, Primates, Cercopithecidae. The record is from Ensembl.